AGCCAAAGCUCCAAAGCGUGAUUGCCCCAUUUGGCUGUGUGAUUGGCGGAGGUUCCGGGGUGCUCUUCGUUGAGUGUCCCGGUGCGCCGUCAGGUUUACUUUGAAAAAAUUAGAGUGCUCAAAGCAGGCUUUUCGGGCUUGAAUAUUCGUGCAUGGAAUAAUGGAAUAGGAACUCGUUCCUAUUUUGUUGGUUUUCGGAAUUGAGUUAAUGAUUAAUAGGGACAAUUGGGGGCAUUAGUAUUCAAACGACAGAGGUGAAAUUCUUGGACCGUUUGAAGACUAACUACUGCGAAAGCAUUUGCCAAGAGUGUUUUCA
RNAcentral lists this ribosomal RNA (316 nucleotides) under marine copepod environmental sample. RNAcentral's name for it is "SSU rRNA". The stretch from base 95 to 316 matches the Rfam family "Eukaryotic small subunit ribosomal RNA", at positions 751 to 972 of the family's 1831-position model. The record is from RNAcentral. Lineage: Eukaryota; Metazoa; Arthropoda; Copepoda.